CAGACCUCAUUUAAGGGUUGGCAGUGGAGGCAAGGGUAUCUUGCUGGAGAUCCUUGCUUACCUGUGGCCUUCUGAAGAAUGCAAUAACUGAAUGACUCUCAACCAUGCACUCGUGAAACCUUGCUGUAACUUCUGCAUAUGAAACUCCAUUGACUCAUACUGAUUUUAAAUUUCACGACAAAUCCAUAUAAUGAAGCUGCUAAUUCUGAAAGCUGAAGCAUUCACACUGAGAACACCGUUGGAAAUACAAGAGUGACGUUUUACUGAGGGAAAAGAAUCCAGGUGCUGCACAGAAAACCUUUCAGGACCUACAGGCGAAGGCUCUCACCUGGAUUACCCUUUCUGUGCUACAGGCAAACAAGGAUCAACAUCCAUGGAAGCACAGACAGGCUGCAAAAUGGUCCUUCUGAUGCACCACGCUGAGCCCUCCCACACGUUAGGACUGACAUGUACUACUCCAUUUCAGCAAAAUAAAUAAAUAAAAAUAAAAAUCCAAGUGGCAUUUGGAAAACAGUAUUUUCACUCCUCGGAGCCAGUGCUCCAGGCACCUCAGAUUAUGUACUGCUGGC
Molecule: long non-coding RNA, 569 nt
Filed under: Gallus gallus (chicken)
Lineage: Eukaryota; Metazoa; Chordata; Aves; Galliformes; Phasianidae
Description: lncRNA (ENSGALG00010005952.1)
Source: RNAcentral